GACGAACGCUGGCGGCGUGCUUAACACAUGCAAGUCGAACGGAAAGGCCCUGCGUUUGCGGGGUGCUCGAUUGGCGAACGGGUGAGUAACACGUGAGUAACCUGCCCUUGACUGUGGGAUAACUUCAGGAAACUGGGGCUAAUAUCGGAUAGGAGCUCCUGCUGCACGGUGGGGGUUGGAAAGUUUCGGCGGUUGGGUAUGGACUCGCGGCUUAUCAGCUUGUUGGUGGGGUAGUGGCUUACCAAGGCUUUGACGGGUAGCCGGCCUGAGAGGGUGACCGGCCACAUUGGGACUGAGAUACGGCCCAGACUCCUACGGGAGGCAGCAGUGGGGAAUAUUGCACAAUGGGCGGAAGCCUGAUGCAGCAACGCCGCGUGCGGGAUGACGGCCUUCGGGUUGUAAACCGCUUUCGCCUGUGACGAAGCGUGAGUGACGGUAAUGGGUAAAGAAGCACCGGCUAACUACGUG
This 468-nucleotide ribosomal RNA is filed under the name uncultured bacterium. RNAcentral's name for it is "partial 16S ribosomal RNA". It matches the Rfam family "Bacterial small subunit ribosomal RNA", at positions 28 to 507 of the family's 1533-position model. The record is from RNAcentral.